Molecule: long non-coding RNA, 468 nt
Organism: Venturia canescens
Lineage: Eukaryota; Metazoa; Arthropoda; Insecta; Hymenoptera; Ichneumonidae
Exons: 3
Source: RefSeq, a predicted model, not a curated record
CGAGGUCACUGAUCAGAGAAGAGAAAAAGAACUCAUUUCGGUGCAGUUUUUAUCCCAAAAGCAGCCAAUAUUGCGGUUUUACUCUACGAAAUCUAGAGACCCGAAUGAAUGGAAGAACGACGAAAACGGCGAAGAAUAUUGAGCACGUGAGUUCCAUCCAUUCUUCGGAGUCGCGCGGAGCUUCAAUCAACGUGGUAAUGAAUUUGGCGCCUACUGCUUGGUGAAUUCGUGCACAGAGUAUAGCAGAUGCAUCGAGCGGAGCAACGAUUAUAGGAAGACAGUCGAAUGCGCGGGAUGAAGGGAAAGCGCGAGGAGCAGGUUGGAAGGAGAGACGAAUUGAAAACUCACGAGAUUGCCAGUGAAAAUGACCCGCGACAAUCACCCACGAUUCGGGAAACCUGCCAGAAACAACUACUUGCUGAAUGUCGACUGGUGAGCGUUACGUCAGCGCAGGGAUUAGGCGACUGA